Long non-coding RNA from Drosophila busckii, 469 nucleotides. RefSeq lists it as uncharacterized. The record is from RefSeq and is a predicted model, not a curated record. The transcript is spliced from 3 exons. Lineage: Eukaryota; Metazoa; Arthropoda; Insecta; Diptera; Drosophilidae.
UUGUGAUUGCUGGUUUGAUCGGAAUAUUCAUUUGGUGUUGGAGGAAAACGAGCGCCAAUCGACAAAUGAAAAUACCGAUCAUAGCCAACCACUGUUUGCGUUUUAAAAAAAAAUAUUGCAAACAAGGUAAAAAGUAAUAGAGUCGACUCUAUAUUAAGUUUGCGAAAUUACUAUGAAAGCAAAAAUUCUCCUGAGGAUUGCAAUCCUCUUCAAUAUUGGAAGAUGAUAAAUGACAACGAAGGCUUAAAAAUUUGCGCAAAAAAACUGUUGUGUAUUCAAGUCACUUCGGUGGAGAGCGAGAAAAUUUUUAGUAAAGCUGGCAUUGUGAUCAGUGACAAAAGAUCCUCACUUGAACCGUCGACUGCAGACAAAAUAAUUUUCAUGAGCAGGAACAAUUGGCUUAUAAACAAUUGAAAUUUGUUACAAAAGGAACUAUGAAUUUGAUCUCUUAUGAUAUAUGAAAAAGUGA